This 73-nucleotide transfer RNA is filed under the name Mycobacterium avium. RNAcentral describes it as "tRNA-Trp". It matches the Rfam family "tRNA". Rfam says of the family: Transfer RNA (tRNA) molecules are approximately 80 nucleotides in length. Their secondary structure includes four short double-helical elements and three loops (D, anti-codon, and T loops). Further hydrogen bonds mediate the characteristic L-shaped molecular structure. tRNAs have two regions of fundamental functional importance: the anti-codon, which is responsible for specific mRNA codon recognition, and the 3' end, to which the tRNAs corresponding amino acid is attached (by aminoacyl-tRNA synthetases). tRNAs cope with the degeneracy of the genetic code in two manners: having more than one tRNA (with a specific anti-codon) for a particular amino acid; and 'wobble' base-pairing, i.e. permitting non-standard base-pairing at the 3rd anti-codon position. RNAcentral also lists the same sequence under 1 other name. Lineage: Bacteria; Bacillati; Actinomycetota; Actinomycetes; Mycobacteriales; Mycobacteriaceae. The record is from RNAcentral.
GCGGAUGUAGCUCAAUUGGUAGAGCAGCGGUCUCCAAAGCCGCAAGUUGGAGGUUCGAGUCCUCCCAUCCGUG